CAGCCGCCGCGGGAAUACGAAGGGUGCAAGCGUUAAUCGGAAUUACUGGGCGUAAAGCGUGCGUAGGCGGUUUGUUAAGUCUGUUGUGAGAGCCCUGGGCUCAACCUGGGAAUUGCAGUGGAUACUGGGUCACUAGAGUGUGGUAGAGGAUAGUGGAAUUUCCGGUGUAGCAGUGAAAUGCGUAGAGAUCGGAAGGAACAUCUGUGGCGAAGGCGACUAUCUGGGCCAACACUGACACUGAGGCACGAAAGCGUGGGGAGCAAACAGGAUUAGAUACCCCUGUAGUCCCUGUCUCUUAUAC
Molecule: ribosomal RNA, 301 nt
Filed under: uncultured bacterium
Lineage: Bacteria
Description: partial 16S ribosomal RNA
Rfam family: Bacterial small subunit ribosomal RNA
Source: RNAcentral